RNAcentral lists this ribosomal RNA (449 nucleotides) under uncultured bacterium. RNAcentral's name for it is "partial 16S ribosomal RNA". It matches the Rfam family "Bacterial small subunit ribosomal RNA", at positions 29 to 523 of the family's 1533-position model. The record is from RNAcentral.
AACGAACGCUGGCGGCAGGCUUAACACAUGCAAGUCGAACGCAUCCUUCGGGGUGAGUGGCAGACGGGUGAGUAACGCGUGGGAACGUGCCCUUCAGUUCGGGAUAACCCAGGGAAACUUGGGCUAAUACCGGAUACGUGCGAGAGCAGAAAGAUUUAUCGCUGAAGGAUCGGCCCGCGUCUGAUUAGCUAGUUGGUGGGGUAAUGGCCCACCAAGGCGACGAUCAGUAGCUGGUCUGAGAGGAUGAUCAGCCACAUUGGGACUGAGACACGGCCCAAACUCCUACGGGAGGCAGCAGUGGGGAAUAUUGGACAAUGGGCGCAAGCCUGCUCCAGCCACGCCGCGUGAGUGAUGAAGGCCUUAGGGUUGUAAAGCUCUUUCGUCCGGGACGAUAAUGACGGUACCGGAAGAAGAAGCCCCGGCUAACUUCGUGCCAGCAGCCGCCGUAA